Molecule: ribosomal RNA, 453 nt
Filed under: uncultured soil bacterium
Lineage: Bacteria
Description: bacterial SSU rRNA
Rfam family: Bacterial small subunit ribosomal RNA
Source: RNAcentral
AGAUUGAACGCUGGCGGCAUGCUUUACACAUGCAAGUCGAACGGGGUGGUGGGGCAACCUGCCAUUCAGUGGCGAACGGGUGAGUAAUGCAUCGGAACGUGUCCCGUAGUGGGGGAUAACCCGGCGAAAGCCGGACUAAUACCGCAUAUGCUCUACGGAGGAAAGUGGGGGGACCGCAAGGCCUCACGCUAUGGGGAGCCGGCCGAUGUCCGAUUAGCUUGUUGGUGGGGUAAUGGCCUACCAAGGCGACGAUCGGUAGCUGGUCUGAGAGGAUGAUCAGCCACACUGGGACUGAGACACGGCCCAGACUCCUACGGGAGGCAGCAGUGGGGAAUUUGGACAAGUGGGGCAACCCUGAUCCGAGCCAUGCCGCGUGCGGAAGAAGGCCUUCGGGUGUAACCGCUUUAGCCGGAAGAAAGGACAAGGAGAAUACCUUGUUCUUGACGGUACCGG